Molecule: unclassified non-coding RNA, 298 nt
Filed under: Hevea brasiliensis (rubber tree)
Lineage: Eukaryota; Viridiplantae; Streptophyta; Magnoliopsida; Malpighiales; Euphorbiaceae
Source: RNAcentral
AAAAAUGGUUUCAAGGAACAGCAGAUGCUGUCAGAAAAUUUAUAUGGGUUUUUGAGGACGCUAAGAACAAGAAUAUUGAAAAUAUCCUUGUAUUAUCUGGGGAUCAUCUUUAUAGGAUGGAUUAUAUGGAGUUGGUGCAGAACCAUAUUGACAGAAAUGCUGAUAUUACUCUUUCAUGUGCACCAGCUGAGGACAGCCGAGCAUCAGAUUUUGGGCUGGUCAAGAUUGACAGCAGAGGCAGAGUUGUCCAGUUUGCUGAAAAACCAAAAGGUUUUGAGCUUAAAGCAAUGCAAGUAGA